This 253-nucleotide ribosomal RNA is filed under the name uncultured bacterium. RNAcentral's name for it is "partial 16S ribosomal RNA". It matches the Rfam family "Bacterial small subunit ribosomal RNA", at positions 524 to 776 of the family's 1533-position model. The record is from RNAcentral.
UACGUAGGGGGCAAGCGUUGUCCGGAAUCAUUGGGCGUAAAGCGCGUGUAGGCGGCUCGAUAAGUCUGCUGUGAAAGUUCAGGGCUCAACCCUGAAAUGCCGGUGGAAACUGUCGAGCUAGAGUCCGGAAGAGGCGAGUGGAAUUCCUGGUGUAGCGGUGAAAUGCGCAGAUAUCAGGAGGAACACCAAUGGCGAAGGCGGCCGGCUGGGGGCGCCCUGACGCUGAGGCGCGAGAGCGUGGGGAGCGAACCGG